UGAUGGCCUACCAAGGCGACGACGGGUAACCGGCCUGAGAGGGCGACCGGUCACACUGGGACUGAGACACGGCCCAGACUCCUACGGGAGGCAGCAGUGGGGAAUAUUGCGCAAUGGGCGGAAGCCUGACGCAGCGACGCCGCGUGGGGGAUGACGGCCUUCGGGUUGUAAACCUCUUUCAGCAGGGACGAAGGGUGACUGACGGUACCUGCAGAAGAAGCGCCGGCUAACUACGUGCCAGCAGCCGCGGUAAUACGUAGGGCGCAAGCGUUGUCCGGAAUUAUUGGGCGUAAAGAGCUCGUAGGCGGUUUGUCGCGUCUGUCGUGAAAGCCCACGGCUUAACCGUGGGUCUGCGGUGGAUACGGGCAGACUAGAGGCAGGUAGGGGAGAAUGGAAUUCCCGGUGUAGCGGUGAAAUGCGCAGAUAUCGGGAGGAACACCGGUGGCGAAGGCGGUUCUCUGGGCCUGUACUGACGCUGAGGAGCGAAAGCGUGGGGAGCGAACAGGAUUAGAUACCCUGGUAGUCCACGCCGUAAACGUUGGGCGCUAGGUGUGGGGUUCUUCCACGGAUUCCGCGCCGUAGCUAACGCAUUAAGCG
This 597-nucleotide ribosomal RNA is filed under the name uncultured bacterium. RNAcentral's name for it is "bacterial SSU rRNA". It matches the Rfam family "Bacterial small subunit ribosomal RNA", at positions 258 to 866 of the family's 1533-position model. The record is from RNAcentral.